UGGGGAAUAUUGCACAAUGGGGGAAACCCUGAUGCAGCGACGCCGCGUGAGUGAAGAAGUAUUUCGGUAUGUAAAGCUCUAUCAGCAGGGAAGAAAAUGACGGUACCUGACUAAGAAGCCCCGGCUAACUACGUGCCAGCAGCCGCGGUAAUACGGAGGAUGCAAGCGUUAUCCGGAUUUAUUGGGUUUAAAGGGUGCGUAGGCUGUGUAGCAAGUCAGUGGUGAAAGCCCGGUGCUCAACACCGGAACUGCCAUUGAUACUGUUGCGCUGGAAUACGGAUGCCGUGGGAGGAAUGAGUAGUGUAGCGGUGAAAUGCAUAGAUAUUACUCAGAACACCGAUUGCGAAGGCAUCUCACGAAUCCGUCAUUGACGCUGAGGCACGAAAGCGUGGGGAUCAAACAGGAUUAGAUACCCUGGUAGU
This 422-nucleotide ribosomal RNA is filed under the name uncultured Clostridium sp. RNAcentral's name for it is "bacterial SSU rRNA". It matches the Rfam family "Bacterial small subunit ribosomal RNA", at positions 355 to 794 of the family's 1533-position model. The record is from RNAcentral. Lineage: Bacteria; Bacillati; Bacillota; Clostridia; Eubacteriales; Clostridiaceae.